GUUGACAUGUUCUUUUCCAGGAAAGAGCAGAUCUGUAUUAUGAGUGUUGCACACUAAGCUGAUCAAAUCAUAUACAACAUGAUUCGAUUUCCUAAUUAGCUCUUCAAACGCUCUGAUUCAGUAGAGGUACGUUGGAGAUGGGAACUAAAUUUAUAUGCUUCCUUUUGAGAAUAUGAGGUUGAUGCAUGGAUUUUGGAUAUGCAUGUAACUAUUGUACAGUAAAUAAUAUUAUUAUCCUAUUCUAUAUAAAAAUUUGUUGCAGGAUUAAAUUAAUUGAUAUGGAAGCACUGGGCCUGUCUAGUUUAGCCGUAAUUUAUAUUUUUUUCCCAACAGUACUAAGCUCUUGGCGAAUCAAGUUGUUGGAAGUCGAUGCACCGUGUUUCAAUCGAGAAUGCAGCCAAAAACUGAGCUAUGAGGACUACUACUAACGAGAAGGCUGAAGCAGA
Molecule: long non-coding RNA, 446 nt
Filed under: Salvia miltiorrhiza (redroot sage)
Lineage: Eukaryota; Viridiplantae; Streptophyta; Magnoliopsida; Lamiales; Lamiaceae
Description: long non-coding RNA (SMIL_LNC012446)
Source: RNAcentral